RNAcentral lists this ribosomal RNA (310 nucleotides) under uncultured eukaryote. RNAcentral's name for it is "SSU rRNA". It matches the Rfam family "Eukaryotic small subunit ribosomal RNA", at positions 39 to 352 of the family's 1831-position model. The record is from RNAcentral.
AAAGAUUAAGCCAUGCAUGUCUAAGUUAAAGUAAAGUGAAACCGCGAAUGGCUCAUUACAUUAGUUAUGGUUCCUUAGAUCGCACUUACUACGUGUAAAGCUGUGGUAAUUGUAGAGCUAAUACAUGCACUGAGCUCCAACCCUCGUGGAAGGAGCGCUUUUAUUAGAUCAAAGCCAAUUGGGCCUUCGGGUCCGUACCGUUGGUGACUCUGAAUAACUUUGCUGAUCGCAUGGUCUCGUACUGGCGACGUAUCUUUCAAGUGUCUGCCUUAUCAACUAUCGAUGGUGGGUUAUGAGCCUACCAUGGUUG